RNAcentral lists this long non-coding RNA (699 nucleotides) under Rattus norvegicus (Norway rat). Its description in RNAcentral is "long non-coding RNA NONRATT024698". The record is from RNAcentral. Lineage: Eukaryota; Metazoa; Chordata; Mammalia; Rodentia; Muridae.
GCAAAGUGUCCAGAGGAAGAACUUCUGGAAGGACUUACUCCCACAGAGCUUGGCAUAGCUUUCUCAUCUCCCAGACGGCAGAUCAGGCACUGGCUCCAUCCAUCACAACCGGGGUCUGGAGCUGGGGGAGGGGUGCGUCUAGGAACAACUCACUGUGGCGAAGGAUUCAGUAUAGCAUCCAGUACCUGUCCCACCUCACCCAUCGGACCCUGGGAGUCAGCAUACAGAUUUCCUGAAGCCUAGUGAACAGCAUCAGGCCAGCCACUGUCUCUCUCUAGGGAUCCUGAUAUCACAGGUAAUGAAUGGGAAUUUGACAUCUAUUUCAUUUGCAAAUAAGGCAAGGUAAUAAAGUGUCCGUGGACGGACCGAAGUGAGACACCAGCUGGAGAGGCAGCAAGAAGGCUGGAAGCCCAGGAAGGGGGCAGCAGAUCUGCAGGCCCGGGAAGGCGGCUUGAGUCGGGGUCGAUGGAUAGGAGAGCUGCAUCCUGGGGAGAUUGCGGCUGGCUACAGCAUUAGGAGUGGUCCUCCAAGUCCAGGCUGAAGACGUCCCUGCCUGGGGAAGUAAGAUACAAAGGGGCAAAUCAGGAGCCAGCCUUGUGUUACCUUGGGAUACACAGGUGAGUGCAGUGCGUGGGUGCCCUGAGGCAGGGGCUGGAGGUGCCUGACAGGCACAUGAGGAAAGGUCACACGCCAUAAACA